AGAGUUUGAUCCUGGCUCAGGACGAACGCUGGCGGCGUGCUUAACACAUGCAAGUCGAACGGAAAGGCCCUGCUUUUGUGGGGUGCUCGAGUGGCGAACGGGUGAGUAACACGUGAGUAACCUGCCCUUGACUUUGGGAUAACUUCAGGAAACUGGGGCUAAUACCGGAUAGGAGCUCCUGCUGCAUGGUGGGGGUUGGAAAGUUUCGGCGGUUGGGGAUGGACUCGCGGCUUAUCAGCUUGUUGGUGGGGUAGUGGCUUACCAAGGCUUUGACGGGUAGCCGGCCUGAGAGGGUGACCGGCCACAUUGGGACUGAGAUACGGCCCAGACUCCUACGGGAGGCAGCAGUGGGGAAUAUUGCACAAUGGGCGGAAGCCUGAUGCAGCAACGCCGCGUGCGGGAUGACGGCCUUCGAGUUGUAAACCGCUUUCGCCUGUGACGAAGCGUGAGUGACGGUAAUGGGUAAAGAAGCACCGGCUAACUACGUG
RNAcentral lists this ribosomal RNA (488 nucleotides) under uncultured Propionibacterium sp. Its description in RNAcentral is "bacterial SSU rRNA". It matches the Rfam family "Bacterial small subunit ribosomal RNA", at positions 8 to 507 of the family's 1533-position model. Lineage: Bacteria; Bacillati; Actinomycetota; Actinomycetes; Propionibacteriales; Propionibacteriaceae. The record is from RNAcentral.